CGGCGUGCUUAACACAUGCAAGUCGAGCGGUAAGGCCUUUCGGGGUACACGAGCGGCGAACGGGUGAGUAACACGUGGGUGAUCUGCCCUGCACUUCGGGAUAAGCCUGGGAAACUGGGUCUAAUACCGGAUAUGACCUCCUAUCGCAUGGUGGGUGGUGGAAAGAUUUAUCGGUGCAGGAUGGGCCCGCGGCCUAUCAGCUUGUUGGUGGGGUAAUGGCCUACCAAGGCGACGACGGGUAGCCGACCUGAGAGGGUGACCGGCCACACUGGGACUGAGACACGGCCCAGACUCCUACGGGAGGCAGCAGUGGGGAAUAUUGCACAAUGGGCGAAAGCCUGAUGCAGCGACGCCGCGUGAGGGAUGACGGCCUUCGGGUUGUAAACCUCUUUCAGCAGGGACGAAGCGCAAGUGACGGUACCUGCAGAA
RNAcentral lists this ribosomal RNA (429 nucleotides) under actinobacterium BAL80. RNAcentral's name for it is "bacterial SSU rRNA". It matches the Rfam family "Bacterial small subunit ribosomal RNA", at positions 40 to 486 of the family's 1533-position model. The record is from RNAcentral. Lineage: Bacteria; Bacillati; Actinomycetota; Actinomycetes.